AUUGAACGCUGGCGGCAUGCCUUACACAUGCAAGUCGAACGGCAACAGGUCUUCGGAUGCUGACGAGUGGCGAACGGGUGAGUAAUACAUCGGAACGUGCCUAGUAGUGGGGGAUAACUACUCGAAAGAGUGGCUAAUACCGCAUGAGAUCUACGGAUGAAAGCAGGGGAUCGCAAGACCUUGUGCUACUAGAGCGGCCGAUGGCAGAGUAGGUAGUUGGUGGGAUAAAAGCUUACCAAGCCGACGAUCUGUAGCUGGUCUGAGAGGACGAUCAGCCACACUGGGACUGAGACACGGCCCAGACUCCUACGGGAGGCAGCAGUGGGGAAUUUUGGACAAUGGGCGCAAGCCUGAUCCAGCAAUGCCGCGUGCAGGAUGAAGGCCUUCGGGUUGUAAACUGCUUUUGUACGGAACGAAAAGCCCCGGGUUAAUACCCUGGGGUCAUGACGGUACCGUAAGAAUAAGCACCGGCUAACUACGUGCCAGCCGCCGCGUAA
This 497-nucleotide ribosomal RNA is filed under the name uncultured bacterium. RNAcentral describes it as "partial 16S ribosomal RNA". It matches the Rfam family "Bacterial small subunit ribosomal RNA", at positions 30 to 522 of the family's 1533-position model. The record is from RNAcentral.